CGCCCCCUGCUCUUAAUAUAUAGGGGGUACUGCCUGCCCAGUGAAUUCUUCAACGGCCGCGGUAUCCUGACCGUGCAAAGGUAGCGCAAUCACUAGUUCUCUAAAUAAGGACCCGUAUGAAUGGCAACACGAAGGUCUAACUGUCUCCCCCUUACCUAGUAAAACUUCUCUCGCGGUUAGAAAGCCGCUAUAAAAGCGCUAGACGAGAAGACCCUAUCGAGCUUGAGGGGAAGGGAGAAAAGGGUUGAAGCUAGACACUGCCUAGCAUUCCUUCUCACUUCCUACCCUUUGGUUGGGGCAACCGCGGAGCCUACCCACCCUCCGCACACUCAGCAUAAGACACCACGUCUCCAACGGAAAAACUGAUCCGGCACGCCGAACAAUGAAAAAAGUUACCGUAGGGAUAACAGCGUAAUCCCUCCUGAGAGUCCACAUUGACGGAGGGGCUUGCGACCUCGAUGUUGGAUCGGGGAACCCCGGUGGUGCAGCCGCUACCAAAGGUUGGUCUGUUCGACCAUUAAAACCCCACGUGAUCUGAG
Molecule: ribosomal RNA, 539 nt
Filed under: Enteropneusta sp. BOLD:ADE2358
Lineage: Eukaryota; Metazoa; Hemichordata; Enteropneusta
Description: partial 16S ribosomal RNA
Rfam family: Bacterial large subunit ribosomal RNA
Source: RNAcentral